AUUGAACGCUGACGGCAUGCUUAACACAUGCAAGUCGAACGGUAACAGGCCCUUCGGGGUGCUGACGAGUGGCGGACGGGUGAGUAAUACUUAGGAAUCUACCUGGUUGUGGGGGAUAACCCGGGGAAACUCGGGCUAAUACCGCAUACGUCCCUCUGUCUUUGUGACAGGGGGGGGAAAGCGGGGGACCUUCGGGCCUCGCGCUAUCAGAUGAGCCUAAGUCCGAUUAGCUAGUUGGUAGGGUAAUGGCUACCAAGGCGACGAUCGGUAGCUGGUCUGAGAGGACGACCAGCCACACUGGGACUGAGACACGGGCCCAGACUCCUACGGGAGGCAGCAGUGGGGAAUAUUGGACAAUGGGCAAAGCCUGAUCCAGCGAUGCGCGUGUGUGAU
RNAcentral lists this ribosomal RNA (393 nucleotides) under uncultured bacterium. RNAcentral's name for it is "bacterial SSU rRNA". It matches the Rfam family "Bacterial small subunit ribosomal RNA", at positions 30 to 409 of the family's 1533-position model. The record is from RNAcentral.